CCUUUUGCAUCAUAUGUGCUUUCUCAUUUUUACUUCAUUGUCAAAAUCUAUAAAUUAUUAUUGUUAUUAUUAUUAUUGUUGUUCUGCGACUCUGAAUUCCCUAAUUCUUCCAUUUUCAUACCUUAAAAUCAUUGAAUCAACAAGGGAGACUGUUGAUAGCCCAUAUUUGGGGUUGGGCAUUUUGAAUUUCAUAUGCGCUGUUCUUUCUUUCUUUUUUUCUUUCUUCUUUCUUUUUGGUGGUUUGUGGGAGGGUUGGUUUGGUUGCGUUUGUGUGCCAGUGUUUUCUUGUUGCCAUUUAAUUAUUUGUGGAACUAGGGAUAUGUUACAGACCUGCACUUUUACCAUCAUUUCAUGUCUUUCCUUCUGCAUAUUGCUUCUCGUUCCCACUAAGGAAAGUUAGUUUACUUAUGGUUUUACUACCUCACUUCCUAUUACUAAAGGGCGUUACAUUGCUACUCAUAAUUGUUUCCCUUCCAAUGCUUAGGAAGAAGAAAUUGAUGGUGUGGAUUUUAUAAUUAUUGCAAGUGAUGGGCUUUGGAAUGUCUUAUCAAAUAAGGAUGCAGUUGACCUAGUGCAGGACAUAACAGAUGCAGAAGCAGCAUCAAGAAAACUAAUACAAGAAGCUUAUGCAAGGGGUAGCUCUGAUAACAUUACCUGCAUUGUGGUUCGAUUUGACAAUUCAUGAGCGGACAGAUCAAGGUGAUAGUCAUCCUAGCUCAAAAUGGAAGAAGCAUCAAGUAGUGCUUUAUUUAGCCCUACCUUUGGAUGGACUGUGAGUAGGUGAUGGGUGUUACAAUGCAGACUAACAAUUGAAUUUCCAAGUUGUUGAUGUAGAUCCAUGUGUUUAUUAUGGAUAGCUUCAUGGUACCUUGAUAUAAAAGAUUGUGUUUUGUUGCCACCAUUCAGAUCUUGACUGUUCCUUUAGAAACAAAAACAAGGUAAAUUACAGAUGACACAAUUUUUAUGAAUUGCAGUUUAAUUUUAGCCCAAAGAAUUUUUCACCUUGUUAAAAUAUGUUUGUCAGUGAUUAUGGAUGCAAUAGUUAAUGGAACCCAUGCAUUGCUUCUCCCUGUAAUUUGAAAUUUUAAA
Molecule: unclassified non-coding RNA, 1089 nt
Filed under: Hevea brasiliensis (rubber tree)
Lineage: Eukaryota; Viridiplantae; Streptophyta; Magnoliopsida; Malpighiales; Euphorbiaceae
Source: RNAcentral